GCUAGCAAGAAGUAUUACUUCAGCAUGACUUUUUUGUCAUACUACUUCUGGUCUCUCUGUCUCCUUUAUGAGUUGCUUCUACCUUGGCUUUUUCCACAACUCUUAAGAAAUUCUUCACACCAAGAUUGAACAAUCAAUGUUCCAGAAGUCCUAUUAUGCCUUGCCGCUCGGUUCUUCUCUGUUUGGUCAAUCUACCUGUGUCAUGCUGGCAUAGAAAGCUUAUCCUCUAUUGGUUGACAUCUCACACAUCUCUGCUACCAUUCUUUUUUUUUAAUAAUAAACUGCAAAUCUUGACUCAUUAAAUGUUUUUUAUAUAUUCUCCUCCUAAUUUUCGUAUCUAAUUCCUGAGUAAAUUUUCUUACAACGGUGAUACCACAUCAAACUUGUAACAAGCCAAUCAAAAAUUGAAAAUCGACGGGAC
This 421-nucleotide long non-coding RNA is filed under the name Elaeis guineensis (African oil palm). Its description in RNAcentral is "long non-coding RNA (EGUI_LNC003417)". The record is from RNAcentral. Lineage: Eukaryota; Viridiplantae; Streptophyta; Magnoliopsida; Arecales; Arecaceae.